CCUACGGGAGGCAGCAGUGGGGAAUCUUAGACAAUGGGCGCAAGCCUGAUCUAGCCAUGCCGCGUGAGUGAUGAAGGCCUUAGGGUCGUAAAGCUCUUUCGCCUGUGAUGAUAAUGACAGUAGCAGGUAAAGAAACCCCGGCUAACUCCGUGCCAGCAGCCGCGGUAAUACGGAGGGGGUUAGCGUUGUUCGGAAUUACUGGGCGUAAAGCGCACGUAGGCGGAUUGGAAAGUUGGGGGUGAAAUCCCGGGGCUCAACCCCGGAACUGCCUCCAAAACUAUCAGUCUAGAGUUCGAGAGAGGUGAGUGGAAUUCCAAGUGUAGAGGUGAAAUUCGUAGAUAUUUGGAGGAACACCAGUGGCGAAGGCGGCUCACUGGCUCGAUACUGACGCUGAGGUGCGAAAGUGUGGGGAGCAAACAGGAUUAGAUACCCUGGUAGUCCACACCGUAAACGAUGAAUGCCAGUCGUCGGGUAGUAUACUGUUCGGUGACACACCUAACGGAUUAAGCAUUCCGCCUGGGGAGUACGGUCGCAAGAUUAAAACUCAAAGGAAUUGACGG
RNAcentral lists this ribosomal RNA (560 nucleotides) under uncultured bacterium. RNAcentral describes it as "bacterial SSU rRNA". It matches the Rfam family "Bacterial small subunit ribosomal RNA", at positions 338 to 916 of the family's 1533-position model. The record is from RNAcentral.